Molecule: long non-coding RNA, 142 nt
Organism: Melospiza melodia melodia
Lineage: Eukaryota; Metazoa; Chordata; Aves; Passeriformes; Passerellidae
Exons: 3
Source: RefSeq, a predicted model, not a curated record
GAGCCUUCUCUCAGUUGUAAUAGCGUUUCCCAAAUCCAUGGCACCUGCAGUCACCAGAGCCAGGAAUCUUCAUCAGCAACAGGAAGGUGGGAUGGUAUCAACCCAAAUGGGCUGGAGAUUGAGCACAACUCCUGGAAGCUGC